AAGUCGUAACAAGGUUUCCGUAGGUGAACCUGCGGAAGGAUCAUUAUCGAGAUUUUUGAAAGCGGAGGUUUGUUGCUGGCGCGGGGAACGCGCAUGUGCACGGCCUUCGUGACUCUCAAGUCCACUCAACCCCAUGUGCACCUUAACAAAGUUGGUGUUAGUAGCCCGGCUUCUAAGGCUUACGCAAAGUAACCGUAAAGGUGAAAUGUUACGCUUCGUUUGAUGAUCUUAUAGAGUAAUCGGCACGGGGAAAGGUGAACGGACAAUUGCGUCUUAGUAGUCUAUCCCCUGAAGGUGAAAAGUAACUUCGUCGUUUUUUUUUUGCCGGGCGAGGGCGUCGACUUUCAUUUACAAACCACUUUAAUUGUCUUGUGAACGUAAUGCUCCUUGUGGGCGAAAAUAAAUACAACUUUCAACAACGGAUCUCUUGGCUCUC
This 436-nucleotide unclassified non-coding RNA is filed under the name fungal sp. RNAcentral describes it as "partial internal transcribed spacer region". The stretch from base 1 to 46 matches the Rfam family "Eukaryotic small subunit ribosomal RNA", at positions 1786 to 1831 of the family's 1831-position model. Lineage: Eukaryota; Fungi. The record is from RNAcentral.